RNAcentral lists this ribosomal RNA (253 nucleotides) under uncultured bacterium. RNAcentral's name for it is "partial 16S ribosomal RNA". It matches the Rfam family "Bacterial small subunit ribosomal RNA", at positions 524 to 776 of the family's 1533-position model. The record is from RNAcentral.
UACGGAGGGUGCAAGCGUUAAUCGGAAUUACUGGGCGUAAAGGGCGCGUAGGUGGAAAUUUAAGUUGGCUGUGAAAUACCUGGGCUUAACCUAGGAAGGUCAGCCAAUACUGAAUAUCUAGAGUACGAUAGAGGGUAGUGGAAUUUCAGGUGUAGCGGUGAAAUGCGUAGAUAUCUGAAGGAACACCAGUGGCGAAGGCGACUACCUGGGUCGAUACUGACACUGAGGCGCGAAAGCGUGGGGAGCAAACAGG